UCGGGAAUUUUGGGCAAUGGGCGAAAGCCUGACCCAGCAACGCCGCGUGUGUGAAGAAGGUCUUCGGAUUGUAAAGCACUUUAAGUUGGGAGGAAGGGCAGUUACCUAAUACGUAUCUGUUUUGACGUUACCGACAGAAUAAGCACCGGCUAACUCUGUGCCAGCAGCCGCGGUAAUACAGAGGGUGCAAGCGUUAAUCGGAUUUACUGGGCGUAAAGGGCGCGUAGGCGGCAUGACAAGUCACUUGUGAAAUCUCUGGGCUUAACCCAGAACGGCCAAGUGAUACUGUCGCGCUAGAGUGCAGAAGGGGCAAUCGGAAUUCUUGGUGUAGCGGUGAAAUGCGUAGAUAUCAAGAGGAACACCUGAGGUGAAGACGGGUUGCUGGGCUGACACUGACGCUGAGGCGCGAAAGCCAGGGGAGCAAACGGGAUUAGAUACCCACGUAGUCCCUGAGCGGGCUGGCAAGGCGCAU
Molecule: ribosomal RNA, 472 nt
Filed under: uncultured bacterium
Lineage: Bacteria
Description: bacterial SSU rRNA
Rfam family: Bacterial small subunit ribosomal RNA
Source: RNAcentral